GGCUGCUCUGAAGGUAGUGAGUUAUUGCAACUGAUUGUUCACGGUCAGCUACAGAUCGGAUCUUUCUACGCUUUCCUUCCGUCUCACUACUGCUCUUGAUAGUCUUAA
Molecule: Y RNA, 108 nt
Filed under: Carlito syrichta (Philippine tarsier)
Lineage: Eukaryota; Metazoa; Chordata; Mammalia; Primates; Tarsiidae
Description: Y RNA (ENSTSYG00000020195.2)
Rfam family: Y RNA
About the family: Y RNAs are components of the Ro ribonucleoprotein particle (Ro RNP), in association with Ro60 and La proteins.
Source: Rfam by way of RNAcentral